AUGGAGCCGACCUUGAAAUACCACCCUUUAAUGUUUGAUGUUCUAACGUUGACCCGUAAUCCGGGUUGCGGACAGUGUCUGGUGGGUAGUUUGACUGGGGCGGUCUCCUCCUAAAGAGUAACGGAGGAGCACGAAGGUUGGCUAAUCCUGGUCGGACAUCAGGAGGUUAGUGCAAUGGCAUAAGCCAGCUUGACUGCGAGCGUGACGGCGCGAGCAGGUGCGAAAGCAGGUCAUAGUGAUCCGGUGGUUCUGAAUGGAAGGGCCAUCGCUCAACGGAUAAAAGGUACUCCGGGGAUAACAGGCUGAUACCGCCCAAGAGUUCAUAUCGACGGCGGUGUUUGGCACCUCGAUGUCGGCUCAUCACAUCCUGGGGCUGAAGUAGGUCCCAAGGGUAUGGCUGUUCGCCAUUUAAAGUGGUACGCGAGCUGGGUUUAGAACGUCGUGAGACAG
This 450-nucleotide ribosomal RNA is filed under the name Escherichia coli. Its description in RNAcentral is "partial 23S ribosomal RNA". It matches the Rfam family "Bacterial large subunit ribosomal RNA", at positions 2180 to 2629 of the family's 2925-position model. The record is from RNAcentral. Lineage: Bacteria; Pseudomonadati; Pseudomonadota; Gammaproteobacteria; Enterobacterales; Enterobacteriaceae.